AGGAAAGUUUGAUCCUGGCUCAGGACGAACGCUGGCGGCGUGCCUAAUACAUGCAAGUCGAGCGGACAGAUGGGAGCUUGCUCCCUGAUGUUAGCGGCGGACGGGUGAGUAACACGUGGGUAACCUGCCUGUAAGACUGGGAUAACUCCGGGAAACCGGGGCUAAUACCGGAUGGUUGUUUGAACCGCAUGGUUCAAACAUAAAAGGUGGCUUCGGCUACCACUUACAGAUGGACCCGCGGCGCAUUAGCUAGUUGGUGAGGUAACGGCUCACCAAGGCAACGAUGCGUAGCCGACCUGAGAGGGUGAUCGGCCACACUGGGACUGAGACACGGCCCAGACUCCUACGGGAGGCAGCAGUAGGGAAUCUUCCGCAAUGGACGAAAGUCUGACGGAGCAACGCCGCGUGAGUGAUGAAGGUUUUCGGAUCGUAAAGCUCUGUUGUUAGGGAAGAACAAGUACCUUCGAAUA
RNAcentral lists this ribosomal RNA (470 nucleotides) under Bacillus subtilis. RNAcentral's name for it is "bacterial SSU rRNA". It matches the Rfam family "Bacterial small subunit ribosomal RNA", at positions 1 to 465 of the family's 1533-position model. The record is from RNAcentral. Lineage: Bacteria; Bacillati; Bacillota; Bacilli; Caryophanales; Bacillaceae.